GAUUCUGGCUCAGGAUGAACGCUGGCGGCGUGCCUAACACAUGCAAGUCGAGCGAAGCGGUUUUAAGGAAGUUUCGGAUGGAUUAAACUGACUGAGCGGCGGACGGGUGAGUAACGCGUGGGUAACCUGCCUCAUACGAGGGGGAUAACAGUUAGAAAUGGCUGCUAAUACCGCAUAAGCACACAGCUUCGCAUGGAGCAGUGUGAAAAACUCCGGUGGUAUGAGAUGGACCCGCGU
This 237-nucleotide ribosomal RNA is filed under the name uncultured bacterium. RNAcentral describes it as "partial 16S ribosomal RNA". It matches the Rfam family "Bacterial small subunit ribosomal RNA", at positions 15 to 236 of the family's 1533-position model. The record is from RNAcentral.